CAGCAGCCACGGUAAUACAGAGGGUGCGAGCGUUAAUCGGAUUUACUGGGCGUAAAGCGUGCGUAGGCGGCUUCUUAAGUCGGAUGUGAAAUCCCUGAGCUUAACUUAGGAAUUGCAUUCGAUACUGGUUAGCUAGAGUGUGGGAGAGGAUGGUAGAAUUCCAGGUGUAGCGGUGAAAUGCGUAGAGAUCUGGAGGAAUACCGAUGGCGAAGGCAGCCAUCUGGCCUAACACUGACGCUGAGGUACGAAAGCAUGGGGAGCAAACAGGAUUAGAUACCCCGGUAGUCCCUGUCUCUUAUAC
Molecule: ribosomal RNA, 301 nt
Filed under: uncultured bacterium
Lineage: Bacteria
Description: partial 16S ribosomal RNA
Rfam family: Bacterial small subunit ribosomal RNA
Source: RNAcentral